Molecule: ribosomal RNA, 881 nt
Filed under: uncultured bacterium
Lineage: Bacteria
Description: bacterial SSU rRNA
Rfam family: Bacterial small subunit ribosomal RNA
Source: RNAcentral
AGAUUGAACGCUGGCGGCAGGCUUAACACAUGCAAGUCGAGCGGUAACAGAGAUAGCUUGCUAUCUGCUGACGAGCGGCGGACGGGUGAGUAAUGCUUGGGAAUAUGCCUUAUGGUGGGGGACAACAGUUGGAAACGACUGCUAAUACCGCAUAACGUCUACGGACUAAAGGAGGGGAUUCUUCGGAACCUUUCGCCAUUUGAUUAGCCCAAGUGAGAUUAGCUAGUAGGUGAGGUAAGAGCUCACCUAGGCGACGAUCUCUAGCUGGUUUGAGAGGAUGAUCAGCCACACUGGGACUGAGACACGGCCCAGACUCCUACGGGAGGCAGCAGUGGGGAAUAUUGCACAAUGGGCGAAAGCCUGAUGCAGCCAUGCCGCGUGUGUGAAGAAGGCCUUCGGGUUGUAAAGCACUUUCAGUUGUGAGGAAAGGGGUGUAGUUAAUAACUGCAUCCUGUGACGUUAACAACAGAAGAAGCACCGGCUAACUUCGUGCCAGCAGCCGCGGUAAUACGAGGGGUGCAAGCGUUAAUCGGAAUUACUGGGCGUAAAGCGUUCGUAGGCGGUUAUUUAAGCAAGAUGUGAAAGCCCAGGGCUCAACCUUGGAACUGCAUUUUGAACUGGGUAACUAGAGUACUGUAGAGGGUGGUGGAAUUUCCAGUGUAGCGGUGAAAUGCGUAGAGAUUGGAAGGAACAUCAGUGGCGAAGGCGGCCACCUGGACAGAUACUGACGCUGAGGAACGAAAGCGUGGGGAGCGAACAGGAUUAGAUACCCUGGUAGUCCACGCCGUAAACGAUGUCAACUAGCCGUUUGUGUCCUUGAGACGUGAGUGGCGCAGCUAACGCACUAAGUUGACCGCCUGGGGAGUACGGCCGCAAGGUUA